RNAcentral lists this long non-coding RNA (1874 nucleotides) under Diabrotica virgifera virgifera (western corn rootworm). RNAcentral's name for it is "uncharacterized LOC126888779". Lineage: Eukaryota; Metazoa; Arthropoda; Insecta; Coleoptera; Chrysomelidae. The record is from RNAcentral.
CAAGUGAUUAAUGAUUAGGAUUAUUAUUAUUAUUUUAUUUACAUGUAAAUUGAAACAAUAAAUAUUGUGCUGUGUCAUAAUUUCAAACUCAUUAUGUUGCAGUCUUUUCCAGUUGAUAAAAUUGCAAUUCAAAAACUUUUAGAUUUGCACAGGAAGAGAACAAGAGUACAAGAACAUGAAACAUCUUAUUAUGAAUGUAUAUGUAUGUGAUCCUCAAAAAAUUAUUUUACAAAACAAGAUAGAGAAAGAGCUUUAAAAUCCCAAGGAUCCUGCAAAAUGUUUAUUUGGUGUACCUACUAGUCGAAUAAUAGUAUCUAAAAAUAUUGAAACUAUUUUAAAACACAUUAUGGGCAUGAGGAUGAUAUAGAGCACUUACAUAAAUACCAAAAUCAGAUAAAUAUCUCUUCAAAGUUUAUUUUGAGACUUUCUUCAAAAAUUAAACUUCAGACUGUUCAGGAUAGCAUAAUAGCAUAGGAGGCGAAUUAAAAAGAAUUGAUUUACUUACAAGAAAAGAUAUCACAAACAUUAAACUCUCUUAUGGCAUUGAUUUGAAAGAUGGGUAUAUGUACAAUGAUGAUGCAACCAGUGUUUAUUUUUGGGUUGAAUGCUUACAGACUCAUGUCCAAUAUUAUUUUACAAACAACAGGGCAUACUAAUGGAUAUUCAUUCUGAAUUUAACAUUUAUGAUUGUUGUCUUAUUUUCCUUAAUACUGUGUCAAAAGGAAAUGUUAAUUAAGUUUGGUAAAUCCUUUAUCGCAAUCGAUGGAACUCAUGGGCUCAAUUCCUAUGACUUUGAACUUAUGACAGUAUUAGUAAAAGAUGAAUUUGGGAAUGGAUUUUGUACUGCUUUCUUAUUUUCAAAUAGAAAAGAUACCUACUUUAAUUUACCAAUUUUUUUAAAUACAUGUCUGUGUUGGUAUUAUAUGUAUAGUCAAAUGUUUUCAUAUUAGGCAUAAGCGACACCUUUUACAAUGCCUCGUCAAAUGUAAUGUGUAUUGCUCCUAAUAGACUGUUAAGUGCCUGGCACAUAGAUAGGGCAUGGUAAGUAAAUCUUAAUAAAAUAUCUGAUUCUGAAAAAAUCCUAUUAUGUAUACAAGAUGUAUUAAUGAUGGUUUAGAGAGUGUUAAUAGCUUUUUGGGUAGACUUCUAAGUGAUGUAGAUACAUACAAUUUUUGUAAGUAUUUCCAGUAGAACUACUGCAAUAACAUCCAACAAUGGGCCUAUUGUUAUAGGAAGGGGUUGUGGAAUUAAUACCAAUAUGACCAUUCAAAAUUUUGGAUAAAAGGGUAUCCAUUAGUUGUUAUCAGUUAAGUUUAAAACUUGGCACUCAUGGAGAGCUAUACCAUAAUAUAUAAUAGGUAUAUCUCAUAAUAUUACAUCUCAUAUUGCUCACUCAUUACAAUAGUGAGCAAUAUGAGAUAUAACAUAUUAUAGUAUAAGUCUCUGUGCUUGACCAGAUUAACAUGUUUGGUGCCCAUCUCGAACAAGCUCCACUUGGCUGGUACCACAUACUUAAAUCAUUUAUUUAGUUACACAGUACUACUCACAUAACAUGUGUCGUCAGUACCUUCCGUAAAACUUUCAUGAUGCUACCCAUACGUCAUGGCCACUGAAUGUGUUAAAGCUUGUUAAUGUAGGAGAGUUAUACUAAAAUAUAUAUCUUAUAUUUUUAUAUUAUAUUGCCUUAAAUAGAAAAAAUAUCUUAUUUAAAUUGUAUCCAUGUAAGUUUUGAUUUAAUGAAAUAAACCUUUUAAUCAAAAAAGUGUUUACUUGUGUACACCCAGCAAUAUCCUGAUCAUAGAUAAAUAAUAUAGCAUUACCAGAUCCUGAUAUGCAGACGCCAAUAGGGCUUUUCAUCGAUUGUCAUUUGUUUC